Molecule: long non-coding RNA, 3759 nt
Filed under: Gallus gallus (chicken)
Lineage: Eukaryota; Metazoa; Chordata; Aves; Galliformes; Phasianidae
Description: lncRNA (ENSGALG00010003221.1)
Source: RNAcentral
CAGCUAUAAUCAAAAGUACAUAGUGUACUUUGUCUUUGACUAACAUAAAUAGUUGUCAGGAUGGACUCCAAUAGAGCUCUCCAUGUUAUUUUGACUCCAGCACAAUGGAAGUAAUUCCUUAUUAUGGCGAGUUGAGACAAAUUAUCUAAAAUUAUAGGGUCGUUGGAUUUCUCUACAAAUAGCAACCAAACACCCUCACAUGUUGCUGUCGAGUGGCACCAAGAGCUCCAGCUGUUAUAAGAGAUCAUUUCUUGACUCUGUCCCAUGGAACUAAAUUGCUUCUUUUCCUGCUUCACUUCAUUAGAUCACACUCGGACCGUGCGUGCCGCCGCCGGGUACCGGAGCGGGGCCGGACGGAUCAGCGUGGGCUGAAUGCCCUCUACCGGGGGAACCCGGAGGUUACCCACAGCCGCACCAUCGGAGGGGGCCGUGGGAAUAAAAUCAACGGUGCUCUUCGGAGCUCUGAUGCUUCUGAGAGGGAAGGGGGAAAGCGUGCCUGGCUCUUCUUCAUCCUUGGUAAUUAAACGAACAAGGAAAAAGAGACAGAUUAAUUGAUUGAACUGGUUCCAGGAGAAACCAUUAGUCCUGUUCCUCUUCUGCUCUAUAUGGUGUUUAAACAACUCUGAAAUGGAGCCCGGUGAAUCCUGCCAACAUAUUUCUCCUGGAUAACUGUUCACCUCAAGAAUGUGCUGCAGAUCCUCUGCCCUCCCAGGAAGACCUACAUGUUUGGAGAAAGCACUGUGAUUUGAAAUCUGUGAGGAAGACCACAAAAGGCAGAUGAGGAUGGUAAAGAAAUAAUUGAAGGAAGAAGAGUUUCUUGCCAUUCUUUCACCCAAGAUGCAGCUGUGUAUACACAUAAUAUAUACUAAAAUCUCAGUUUUAAGAAAUAUCAAGCUUCCUUUACUAAUGAUGUAGAAAAUGAGAUUUAAAAAGCGAGUAUUUUACAGCAUGUGAAUGUCUUAUAUAGUUGUCUAUAAAAUGUGACCAGAGAGUUACACAAACUUAGUAUGGGUCUGAGCUGAAGGGAAGAAAACAUGGUUUAAGUCUGGGAUGUGCUAAUGUGAAUGUAAGUCACAAGAGGUGUUAUUUUACUAUCUAAGAAAUGAUUUUUUUUGCAGUGUCAUCCCAGACACACCUGUUUGAGAAUGACAUAGCCAAAGAGAAGAAAGCCCAAGAGGAGAGUCCUGUGGUCAGUCCAUAACCAUCCAUCUCUGACACCCCUCCAUGUCUACUCUCAGCCCCCCCUCCACAUGGGUCCCUCCCACACCAUCCUUCCUGACUCCCAGUGGGCUUCCCACAGCCUGCAGCUCUCCCAGAACAACCCCAACAUGGCUCCAUGCCAUGGGGCACUGCUGGGCUCUGCUCACUAGAGGAUUCUCCUGCAGCUCCUCUGCUAUCAGAACCUCACCAUGUAAGAGCAAUACACCUUGGCACACUCCUGGGCCUGGCCAUGGCAUUGGAGCUAUGUGAUGAAGCAAUCAGUUCUCUUAAGUGCUUAUUCACUAGCAAACCCAUGAAGUCUCUGGUGACACCCAACAGUCAGGUUUCUUUAAUUAAACAUUUUGAAGGUUUCUGAUUUGUAGCAAAUACGUGUUUAUUAAUAUCUUUUCGUAUUUAUCUCCAUAAGAAGAUUGAAAAGAAGUAUUUUACUUGUUUUGUUUUUUCUUCUCUGAAGAAAAAUAAACAUAGAAGAUGUGUCUGUCUCCCUCUCCCCAAAUAAAUAAGUCUCUGUAUUUUUCACUGAAGGCCACCAUUGCCUGACCACCCAGCCCCACUGAUUGGCCUCAAGUGGGAAGGCAUCAUGGUAGCUGGCACUGUGUGGCAGGUGAGCAGAGAAGGUGUGGGUGCUCCAUUCCUGGAGGCAUUCAAGCCCAGGCUGGAUGGGCUGCCCUAAGCAGCCUGAGCUGGUAGAGGACAGCCAUGCCCAUGGCAGGGGGUUGGAACUGGGUGGGCUUUGGUAUCCCUCCCAGCUCUAGCCAUUCUAUGAUUCUAUGAAUUAAAAAGUGCAUUUUGGAAGUAGCUGGUAGCUUUGUGACUAUCUGCGUACAUGAGAGCUAAUAAAAUUAUUGUCACUCAGCAGCACUUGAUUGCAACCUAAUGGCUAGAACAGUUUUUCAGCCAAGAAGCAGGGAAAAAUGCCUCCUGGCAGAGCACAACUACAUACAUGGGGAAAAUAGUUGUUAUUUCAGGUGCUUAGGUUCCCAGUAGAAAAUAAGUUUAAUUAAUUUAUUUAUUUUUCUAAUUUGUGAAAAUAUGCCUACAGUGACCUCUAGGAACACGUGCAAAAGCCAUAAAACCAGAUUCAUUCAUUAACCAUCUGACACAAUGUCAAUCGUAGAUAGUCAAAUAAACAACUAACACGUGAGGAAAACUCAAACUCCUCCCUUCCAACUCUCCAUAGGAAAAAGCCUUAGAGAGUGAACACGCUUGGCAGCGUGCCUUGGGCUCCUCACUCAGUGCCUUUUUUGGGUGACAGAGAGAAUGGAGUCUGAACCGCAGCGAUGAACACUCUCAUUGCUGUUUUAUAUUCAUGCCUUUCAAUUAAAAUCCAUAAAUGUUUAUACUUUUUUCCAUUUUUUUUUCUUUUUAAUGUGUUACAUGGGAAAUAGGAAUGAGUUACAAAAAUGAAUAUGUAAAGCGUUUUCAUCUCUGCGAUGGGCAGAGAGCUGCAAAUUAGGGUUUCUGGCUCCUCCUCCAACCUCUGCCACUCUUCUGCUCUCUGAUCCUGGGGCAGCUACUCAUCCAGUGUGGUUGGAUGUGCAAAAUUCACUACACUGGGCUUGCCAGCUCCUUGUAACUCAGCCUACUGCUCUUUUGCUAAUCUUUGAAAUUCUCUUCUUGCUGUAGGAUGCUUUUAACAGUGAAACUAUUUGAGGAAAAGUCAGGUCCACUUCAGUAAUGGAAUGAAAAAAGUAAUGGAAGGAGCCCAGGCUCUCCUUGAAGCAGCAGGGAGUAUCAGCCUCCCAUGGCCAAGUGACAGCAGCACUGAGAUCUUGGUGCUUCACACCUUUUCCAACACUUCCAUGUGAUUGCAGUGACUUUGCCCUUGCCGGUGCCUUCAGUCCCUGAAGGAAGUACCUAUCUGAACCUGAAGUGCUGUCUUUGCUGUGAUGCCACCAGCAACUACAGUUUUCCUCCUGCAAAAACCUCCUUAUGCAUUAUGAAACAAUAUGUGUUAUGUUUUGCUUUAUAAAUAAUCAGUUUUUGCAAACUUAUAUAUCAUCUGUGUGACAAACACUUUGUUCCAUGGUAAUGAAUACAAGUCUGUGUCCAAACAUCACGUUUAAACACCAAAAAAAAAAAAAAAAAAAAAAAAAAAAUCCUUUGAGGCUACAUCUUCAUGUUCAACAGAUGAGGUUCUGUUCAACCUGGAGCUCUGUGACUGUGAUGAACACAGAACAGCACAGGAGUAAAUCUUCCCUCUACUUUGCCCCCCCCCCCCCCCGGGACAAUGUUUUCUAGAAAAGAUCAGACGGUGUUUUAAUGCCUGGGGAAAAACAGAACGUGACCCACAGUAUAUUUAGGCAGUUCCAUUUCUGCUUGCUAUUUUUAAAAGCAUAUGCGUUAUUUAAAAAUAAUUAGCUUGAGCCCAUUUAUGUACAAUGUAUAUAUUGCACAUAUGUCUAUACAGAACAAGAAACAAUGUAAUCACAACCUUACUACACUAAAGGUCUUGGCAUAAGAAACACAGACAGUGAAAGCCAAAGAGAUUUUACCUGUCAUAUGUAUUUCCCUCAUUUAAAUAUAUUAAAACAGAAC